This 403-nucleotide ribosomal RNA is filed under the name bacterium. Its description in RNAcentral is "partial 16S ribosomal RNA". It matches the Rfam family "Bacterial small subunit ribosomal RNA", at positions 355 to 776 of the family's 1533-position model. The record is from RNAcentral.
UGGGGAAUAUUGCACAAUGGGGGAAACCCUGAUGCAGCGACGCCGCGUGAACAAAGAAGGUAUUCGUAUCGUAAAGUUCUGUCCUAUGGGAAGAUAAUGACAGUACCAUAGAAGAAAGCUCCGGCUAAAUACGUGCCAGCAGCCACGGUAAUACGUAUGGAGCGAGCGUUGUCCGGAAUUAUUGGGCGUAAAGGGUACGCAGGCGGUUUAAUAAGUCGAAUGUUAAAGAUCGGGGCUCAACCCCGCAAAGCAUUGGAAACUGAUAAACUUGAGUAGUGGAGAGGAAAGUGGAAUUCCUAGUGUAGUGGUGAAAUACGUAGAUAUUAGGAGGAAUACCAGUAGCGAAGGCGACUUUCUGGACACAAACUGACGCUGAGGUACGAAAGCGUGGGGAGCAAACAGG